RNAcentral lists this ribosomal RNA (393 nucleotides) under Triticum aestivum (bread wheat). RNAcentral's name for it is "partial small subunit ribosomal RNA". The record is from RNAcentral. Lineage: Eukaryota; Viridiplantae; Streptophyta; Magnoliopsida; Poales; Poaceae.
AUGCUGGAAGAAAUUACCAUCGUUAAAAAAACUACUGAUAAAGAGAAUAUGCAUAUAGGGAUAAUUCUCACAGAGUUUUCCACCAAGCAAGGCCAAGACGAACCUUUCUUGAAGACCGUCCUAUGCACCCAAAACAACAUUCUCCAAGUACUGAAUUGUGUCGUGCAUGUGAUCUUCACCAAAUCCCUUAAACAAGGCAUUAUGUGUACAAUGGUCUGGAUGAAUACCUUUCUGAUGCAUUUCACAGUACAGCCUUACAGCCUCCACCCAGUUACCUUCUUUACAGUUCCCGUCUAUCAACAAAGUGUAUGUGUAUUUGUUUGGCACCAAUCCUCUCUCCAGCAUCUCAUGAAAAUAUUGAUAAGCCAAUUCAGUUCUCCCUAUCCGGCAUAG